Schistocerca nitens (vagrant locust) is the source of this 571-nucleotide long non-coding RNA. RefSeq lists it as uncharacterized. The record is from RefSeq and is a predicted model, not a curated record. The transcript is spliced from 4 exons. NCBI's taxonomy places the organism in Eukaryota, Metazoa, Arthropoda, Insecta, Orthoptera, Acrididae.
CUCCUGUCGCCGUCUGCUCUGCAGUGCCUGUAGAGCGGAGCAAACACAGACUAAUUGCAGUGAACACUAGCAUUAUUCUAUGGAGGGAUGAAUGCAAAUGCUCUACUGAUAUGAAAGAUGAAAAGCUAGUGGAGAAGUAGGAGAGCAAAGGACAGACAUGUUAGAUAUAUGGAACCAUCUUUAGAUGGCAGAGGUACCACUGCCUGUCAAGAGCAGCCAGGGUAUUCCACCAACAGGAUACACCCUUCAAACACCAUUACGACAUGCCACUACUCCUGCAUUGGUCCUAUAAUUGAUGGAGGUGUGUUAUGAACCAUAUUAGAAUGUCCUGAAGCCUGUUAGGAUGUAAGAUCAGUACCAAGAAUGUUGUACACUGAUCAAGGAACGUCUACACCAUCAACCCAAUACAGAAAUGAAACAUAUGGCACAGGACAUGAGAUAAUCCAAGAGAACCAACAUUUGGUUCAAAGGUUACAGAAGAAGGCUGCCCUCAGUUCUUAUGAUGUGGAUCACCCAGCAUCAGAGGAAUACGAGAAGAUUAAUUGGAUACAAUAGAAAAUUUUCCCCAAAU